Non-coding RNA from Rhamnusium bicolor, 75 nucleotides. The record is from the annotation of a GenBank genome assembly. Lineage: Eukaryota; Metazoa; Arthropoda; Insecta; Coleoptera; Cerambycidae.
GGCUUCGUAGUCGAGUGGUAAGACCCCUUGCCUUUCAUCCAGGAGUCCCAGGUUCGAUCCCCAGUCGAGGAGCUA